Molecule: unclassified non-coding RNA, 647 nt
Filed under: Ixodes scapularis (black-legged tick)
Lineage: Eukaryota; Metazoa; Arthropoda; Arachnida; Ixodida; Ixodidae
Description: venom metalloproteinase antarease TserMP_A-like, transcript variant X1
Source: RNAcentral
GGUAUUCAUCAAUGGACAACCCAAAAUUGAUGGCAAGGUUAUGCGCUGUCGAUAUGUUGUCGGUGUUGCCUAUGCUGCGGGUGUGUGCUUGAGCACUAAAGUGGGACUUUUGGAAGACGAUGGCUUGUUCCACACAGGAGUUCAUACCGCUGCUCACGAACUUGCUCACCUGCUUGGUUGUCCACAUGACGGGGACCCAGCGCCUCCCGCGCUGCCAAACUCUCCUGGGGCGGAAUCAUGUUCGGGGAGCGAUGGCUUUUUAAUGAGCUCAGACCUCACGGGCACGACAAACAAAAAUCAGUACCAUCUAUCGCCAUGCUGCCAAGAUGUGAUACGGUAUGUUGCAGGGAUGGCAUGUUGGAACAGUGUCUUCUGAAUUUCGAAACGAUUCCUGAUCAGAAUGGCGAUGGUUGGAGAGUGAAUGUCACAGCAGAAGAUGGGACACCUUGCAGCAACGAAAAGCCCCCGAAGGUCUGCAUAGCUGGAGAAUGCGUUGUUUGGACAUAAGAACCAUGACCUGCCGGGUGACUCAAAUGGAAACACUUGAGGUGAAACGCCCCACGCAAAACACGAUUUGUUUCCCAAGAAAAUAAAACAAUAAAAGUUAUUUAACUAUUUGAGGUGUCAAGGCAUCAUAAUUGUGAGCA